UGAUUAGCAAACAGUUAUAAAAAAAAUGUGAGGAAACAUAUUGCUAUUUAUAUCAAUUAAAAAGAGAUCAUUGAUCAAAUGGAUGUUCAUGUGAGGUUGAGCUAAUUAUCAAUCUAAUUGAAGUUAAAUAGCAUAAAUGGAAUUAGACAUGAAGUACAGUAUAUUCAUUUGUGGCUUUAAAAUUCAUUUGUCUGUAUAGUUUAAAUUGAAUGUUAAUAUUCUUUUGUUUUGUGAGCUUUGGUGCCCUCUUGUGGUCAGAGUUGGUACUUGGGAAGCUUGUUAUGCAAAGCAGGUAAAGUACAAGUGUGCACUUAGAAGUGAAACCUUGGCCCACGUACACCUGUAAGUUUUCCUGGUGUAUUAUAUUCAUACUGUUUGAUCUGUGAUAUACUACGAGAAUACUGAGCUACUAGUUCAGCUGUGUGGCUAUGAAUCAUUUUUAUAUCCAGUGCUAGUGAAUAUACGUUAGCAUGUGUUUGCUAACUUGUUAUGAAAAUGAAUAAUGCUAGUUCACUGAAUGUUAAGGCUAAUGUUAGAUUUAUAUUGUUGCUGUUUGCAAUUUUAAGUCUAAAUUAAGACAUUAUUUGUGCUCAGUGGAUGAGAAGAUAAUGAUCUGUGUUGUUUGUGUUUAUUUAGUUUUACAAAAAGGAGAAAAGGAGAGAGCAAGAGGAAAAUGGAUAUCAAAUACGAUGUAUAGAAAAUUCAAAGUAACGUGUCGUUGUAACCUGGAGAUGCAGACCAAAGGUGGUGCUGCAACACCAAACAACACAGAAGUAACCAGAGUUUUUACAUUGGCUCACAGACAUUGAAGCAGAUUUUGUGCUCUUUACAUGACUGUAUAUGUGGUGUCAUGGAUAGAAAAAUCUGCAGAAUCAUUCUGGCUUUGGAAUAUUUAGUUGAAUAAAAAAAAAAUGAAGUAAAAAUGGAAGAUGUGAGUGUGAAGGCGAAGGUGUGUGGGAGUCUCAGGGUGUCUAAAGAGAGUGUGUAGAAGGACAAAGGAGCAGCAGAGCAGUCCAGAUACACCGAUGACCCUCUGUCAGAUCCUGAGUGACACAAAGGGGAUGAUGGUGCACUCUAGGCUCUGUGACAGAGGAACUAUUCUUAGAGCAGUUCACUCUGCACUGACAGUUAUCUGCUCUUAUUUUCAUCCAUCUGUCAGUCACUGCUGGAUAAAGCACCCACCUCCCAGUAACAUGUCCCCAUCAGAGCAUCUGCACAUAAGCUGCUGCCAUCUCAACAACUCUGAAUCAUCAGGCCACAGCUCAUCCAGCUUCAGCACAAACCACCCUGUUUACCACCAUUCCCAUCAGAAGAGAAGAGAAGAGCAGGUAUUUAAGGCGAAUUGGUGUUGUACUCCUAACUUCAUAGUUUCCGUGAUUAGAUGUCCCAAAAGGAUUAAUAAAGUUCUAUUCUAUUCUCUCAGCUGUCAUGCUGGAGUGAACACACUGAAAUUAACCUGCACAGAGAUAUUUAACAUUAAGUUUGUUUCCUCUGUUGAUUUCGCUCAAGUCCAGGGUGAAAAUAAUCUGCUGAGAGUCCAGAAUGCCUCAUUACUGCAAAAAGACUUUUGUUCUACUAAGUCUCUGUCUGCACAUGUGUACACACUGAAAAAAUAAUCUGUUGGAGUAACAUGAAAAAAUUUACAAUGGCAAUAAAAUUAUAUUUUAUAAGCUUUACUUUUGCUUGAUAUAACUGCGCAAUGUUUAUAUUAAAUGAACAUGUCUUUUAUGCUAUUUUAUGCUGUUAUUUUUUUAUUCAUGUGAUGUCUUCACAAUUAUCUCAUGUUCAUUUUACAGAAAAUGUUCAUGUUUACACUUGACACAAUGCUACAUUUCAGCAAACUCCCAUGCUAACAAUGAGACUAAAAUGACAAAAUGUGGAACAAGCUAAGAGGUGUGAACGGGGUGUUACUUUUUACUGCACCAUGCUUCUUUAACUAUCUGUCUUUUCUCAGUCGUGCACAGAUUACCAGUCAACACAGUAAACAUGUGACACACAUGUUUUUGAACUGUAAUAUAACACAGCACUGACUAACACACUGCUGGAGCGCUAAUGCAACACCACUAGCAUGAUAAUGUGCACACUGAAAUUACUGCAAUGCUUCAUAGCAAAGUAAUAAAGCAGGACCUGCCCAAGCAAAGCCUGCCCUUUUCAAGACCAGCUGGAGAGCAGCCACUGUAAAAGUAAAAGUAACAUUCAACUCAGGAGAUUCGAUAGAGGCAGAAAAUAAGUGAUCAGUUUUGCCAAUAACAUAUUCCAGCACUUGUUCCAGAGCUUAGUGAGUCUUUCAGAUCAAAGGACAGUCCUUUGAUCCUCUAGUUUGCAUGGGCAUCUCUGCUUUUUGAGUGCACAGCAUUCUUACUGUGGUCUCCUCAGUCCUUGCAUGUGAAAUGAAUGCAAUGAAACCUGUUUCACAAGAUUCUGCUCUGCAACAAAUCAGAACUGAGGAAGAUGUAAGAUACCGGGACAAAAUGCCGCUUAGGUGAAUGAACUGAAUGUCUCAGAGCUUAGGAAUGUGAUUAUGCCAGUACUGACACAUUCACUGGAGUCAUAAGAGUCAUCCAGCAUGGAAAGACAGUUGGAGUUAAGGCCACACUGUCUUUGUCUGUCUUUGUAUGCUCUGCAACAGAUUCAAGAAGUCUGGGUAGAAUCAGUCUUUGACUUCAAGGAUCACUCUGCAGGCAUCACUGCGUGUCUCAACCUGUAAAAGAUUGAAAAAGGUUUGUCUUAAAAAGAUUGUUGCAUAUGCUUCAUGGGUACAGUCACGUUUACUGUGUUUUAUCCACAUAUUGACAAGAUUUUUUGUCACAAUAAAUAAGAAUACUAAAAACAAUAAAAAACAACACAACAACAAUAAUAAUAAUAAUCUUAAAAUAACUUUUCAU
This is a long non-coding RNA of Oreochromis aureus, 2885 nucleotides long. The record is from Ensembl. Lineage: Eukaryota; Metazoa; Chordata; Actinopteri; Cichliformes; Cichlidae.